UACAGAGGUCUCAAGCGUUGUUCGGAUUCAUUGGGCGUAAAGGGUGCGUAGGCGGCGCGGUAAGUCGGGUGUGAAAGCCCCGGGCUUAACUUGGGAAUUGCGCUCGAAACUACUUUGCUGGAGUGUGGCAGAGGAAGGUGGAAUUCCACGUGUAGCGGUGAAAUGCGUAGAGAUGUGGAGGAACACCAAUGGCGAAGGCAGCCUUCUGGGCCAACACUGACGCUCAUGCACGAAAGCGUGGGGAGCAAACAGG
RNAcentral lists this ribosomal RNA (253 nucleotides) under uncultured bacterium. RNAcentral describes it as "partial 16S ribosomal RNA". It matches the Rfam family "Bacterial small subunit ribosomal RNA", at positions 524 to 776 of the family's 1533-position model. The record is from RNAcentral.